GUAAUUACAGCUGUGGCUGCAUGGAAAUGGGAGCAGCCUGUUUGCUGCUCCUGCCCAGGGAUUUGUUCUUGUUUGCUGCUCUUGCCCAGGGAUUUAUUCCUGUUUGCUGCUCCUGCCCAAGGAUUCAUUCCCAUUUUGUGCUCCUGCCCAAGGAUUCAUUCCCGUUUUCUGCUCCUGCCCAGAGAUUUAUUCCAGUUUUCUGCUCCUGCCCAGAGAUUUAUUCCAGUUUUCUGUUCCUGCCCAAGGGUUCAUUCCCAUUUCGUGCUCCUGCCCAAGGAUUCAUUCCCGUUUUCUGCUCCUGCCCAGGGAUUUAUUCCUGUUUUCUGUUCCUGCCCAAGGGUUCAUUCCCAUUUUGUGCUCCUACCCAAGGAUUCAUUCCCGUUUUCUGCUCCUGCCCAGGGAUUUAUUCCCGUUUUCUGUUCCUGCCCAAGGGUUUAUUCCCGUUUGCUGCUCCUGCCGAAGGAUUCAUUCCCAUUUUGUGCUCCUGCCCAAGGGUUCAUUCCCGUUUUCUGCUCCUACCCAAGGAUUCAUUCCCAUUUUCUGCUCCUGCCCCAGGGGAUGCGGGCUGGAGCAUCUGGGCAGGGCGAGCUCCGGUCCUGCAUCCUCCCGGUGCUGCGGGACGGGGAUGGAUGCCCAGAGCUCCCCUUGGCAUGGUGAGGGCUGGGCAGGCAGUCCCGCUCCAGAAUGGCCCUGCAGAACGGGCCGGGGGCUAUUUCGGUGCUCUCCCCGCUCCAGACUGCCCUGCACAUAGAGCUGGGGGCUAUUUCUGUGCCGGGGCAUUGCAGGAAGCCCCUCCCGGGGAGGAGAGCAUCCACCCCGCUGCACGAACUUCCUCCCCGCGGUAUUUUUAGUGAAACACAAAGCGGGCGGGAGGCAGAUUAGCAUCGGGAGGAGCCGUGCCCUGCCAAGAGCCUUUGUUCCCGGAGCCACGGGGGACCGAGGGGUCACCCCGGGACCCCCCAGCUCCCCGGGAUAGGGGAGGGGUCCUGCCCCAGCCUGGAAUGGGGAUGCUCAGGGUGGUCCAGCCCAGGGAGGG
This 1036-nucleotide long non-coding RNA is filed under the name Zonotrichia albicollis (white-throated sparrow). Its description in RNAcentral is "lncRNA (ENSZALG00000002986.1)". The record is from RNAcentral. Lineage: Eukaryota; Metazoa; Chordata; Aves; Passeriformes; Passerellidae.